This 289-nucleotide ribosomal RNA is filed under the name uncultured bacterium. Its description in RNAcentral is "partial 16S ribosomal RNA". It matches the Rfam family "Bacterial small subunit ribosomal RNA", at positions 773 to 1060 of the family's 1533-position model. The record is from RNAcentral.
GUGGAUUAGAUACCCUAGUAGUCCACGCCGUAAACGAUGAAUACUAGGUGUAGGAGGUAUCGACUCCUUCUGUGCCGCAGUUAACACAAUAAGUAUUCCGCCUGGGGAGUACGGUCGCAAGAUUAAAACUCAAAGGAAUUGACGGGGGCCCGCACAAGCAGCGGAGCAUGUGGUUUAAUUCGAAGCAACGCGAAGAACCUUACCCAGACUUGACAUCUCCUGAAUUAAUCGUAAUGGAUGAAUUCCCUUCGGGGACAGGAAGACAGGUGGUGCACGGUUGUCGCCAGCU